GAUGAACGCUGGCGGCGUGCCUAAUACAUGCAAGUCGAGCGAACGGACGAGAAGCUUGCUUCUCUGAUGUUAGCGGCGGACGGGUGAGUAACACGUGGAUAACCUACCUAUAAGACUGGGAUAACUUCGGGAAACCGUAGCUAAUACCGGAUAAUAUUUUGAACCGCAUGGUUCAAAAGUGAAAGACGGUCUUGCUGUCACUUAUAGAUGGAUCCGCGCUGCAUUAGCUAGUUGGUAAGGUAACGGCUUACCAAGGCAACGAUGCAUAGCCGACCUGAGAGGUUGAUCGGCCACACUGGAACUGAGACACGCUCCAGACUCCUACGGGAGGCAGCAGUAGGGAAUCUUCCGCAAUGGGCGAAAGCCUGACGGAGCAACGCCGCGUGAUUGAUGAAGGUCUUCGGAUCUUAAAACUCUGUUAUUAGGGAAGAACAUAUGUGUAAGUAACUGUGCACAUCUUGACGGUACCUAAUCAGAAAGCCACGGCUAACUACGUG
Molecule: ribosomal RNA, 497 nt
Filed under: uncultured bacterium
Lineage: Bacteria
Description: partial 16S ribosomal RNA
Rfam family: Bacterial small subunit ribosomal RNA
Source: RNAcentral